Oncorhynchus tshawytscha (Chinook salmon) is the source of this 1558-nucleotide long non-coding RNA. The record is from Ensembl. Lineage: Eukaryota; Metazoa; Chordata; Actinopteri; Salmoniformes; Salmonidae.
GUUGCCUGAAGGCUGUGGAUCAUUGUAUUGUUGACCCAGACGGAGUGUACUUCACAAGGAUUGUCUUUUUCUGAGAAAGCUAACCAUGGAUAACUCUCCUGAAGUGAACCAGGAGCAGGGAGACAUACCAAUAAUCCCAUUGGUCCAUGAGCCCAUGUCAGGGGAUGAGAUGCAGAGAGCCCAGAAUCAGGUGAACAACUUGCAGCAGUCAAUGAACCACAUGCAUGAGCAGCUGAAUUCCAUGGGGAGGCAGUUUACUGAGUUGCAGAGUGCCCUCUCUCAGCUCCUUGAUGACAACAUGCCUAUGGCACCUGAAGCGGAGGGGAUCCAACUGAAGAACGUCACCCCUGCACAGUGGGACAGAAUCCUCCCGAUAGGAAUCAUCCAGAGGGAGGAUCCCAACCAGAACCAAUCAUUCCAACAAUACGUCAUCCCAAUCAAAAACAAUGGAAUGGAACAGAUGGAAUAUCAUGGACCACCUCCACCUCCCAUCAUCCCCAUGGUGGGAUCCUGGGACACUGGAGUGAAUGCUCCACGUUGUGGAGAUUUCUAUGCCAGGAGAAAAGAUAUCCGGAGUAGAUAUGUGGCGGAUCCUGCUUUAAUGACCAUCACCAAGCCAGAACACUUCGAGGCCAACCCUCAGAGCCAGGCUGGCAGUUGGCCGGUGGCUAAACCUCAGCACCCAGCACCCCCAGUACAGAAAACACGAAACAGUGGAGGCUGGCUCAGGUGGUUCUUCGGAGAAAAGGAAGAAGUUCUUCAGAUGACAAGGAUACCAGAUGACAAGCCUAAUUCUAUUGUCUGGGAUCAAAACCUGCACAGAUGGGUUGACGCAAGUCCCAUGCCCAAGACUGAGAACAAGCCUGUUCCACCUCCUCCCCCGAUGGGGAUGUAUCUGGAGAACUCUAGUCUCCCCAAAGGAGUGAAUCCUUACUCCAUGAAAGCAGCAGAUCAAGGAAGCCUAGGGGACAGGUAUCCCAAGCUAUUGUACCAUGGUGGGAUCACUACAACACCUCCAUACCAGGGUCCUGGAUCGCUCCCUGCCCAGCAUGCAACACUCAUGGCACCGAUGACUGUGCCAUUCGAUGUUGACAGGCAGAAACUUGGCCCAGGCACUCUACCCUUUUGAGAAUCGACACUGAACAAUCCUUCUGCAACGAUUUAUUUAAUUAGCUUUAAUAUACAGCAACACUUGGCUGAAGUUUCAGUGAUUUUUAAGCUAUUUAUUUUUGUCUCACAGGUCGUUUUCCAGGAGGGAUCAUUUGAUAUUUCAGCAUUUUAAAAGACAAAAUAAAAUAAGAUUUCGGGCUUUGAAAAGUUAUUAAAAAUCUGUAUGUUCACGUAGCUUUGAUAUGUUUUCUGGCAUCCUUUACAAGCCCAUCGCUUGUGCACAUUUCUCUAUGUUACAUACUUUACAGAUGGGUAUAUUAUUUAUACAUAUGUUUUUCAAAAUAUAUUCAAAAAAGAAUUAAUCUAUUUCAUAAACAUAAUAUCAAAUGUAAAUAAAGUGCAUUUUAAAUUGUACACCAUAUAUUUCAAUAUAUGACUUUACUGCAGG